UCCAGAUCCCCAAAUCCUGUGAGGUGUUCCCAGCAAACCUCUCAUGGGAGCUCAGCAAUCCCUCCAGAUCCCCAAAUCCUGUGAGGUGUUCCCACCAAACCUCUCAUGGGAGCUCAGCAAUCCCUCCAGAUCCCCAAAUCCAUGUGAGGUGUUCCCACCAAACCUCACACAGGGAGCUCAGCAAUCCCUCCAGAUCCCCAAAUCCAUGUGAGGUGUUCCCACCAAACCCCACACAGGGAGCUCAGCAAUCCCUCCAGAUCCCCAAAUCCUGUGAGGUGUUCCCAGCAAACCUCUCAUGGGAGCUCAGCAAUCCCUCCAGAUCCCCAAAUCCUGUGAGGUGUUCCCAGCAAACCUCACAUGGGAGCUCAGCAAUCCCUCCAGAUCCCCAAAUCCUGUGAGGUGUUCCCAGCAAACCUCACACAGGGAGCUCAGCAAUCCCUCCAGAUCCCAAAUCCUGUGAGGUGUUCCCACCAAACCUCUCAUGGGAGCUCAGCAAUCCCUCCAGAUCCCCAAAUC
Molecule: long non-coding RNA, 516 nt
Organism: Serinus canaria (Common canary)
Lineage: Eukaryota; Metazoa; Chordata; Aves; Passeriformes; Fringillidae
Exons: 3
Source: RefSeq, a predicted model, not a curated record